RNAcentral lists this transfer RNA (77 nucleotides) under Archangium gephyra. Its description in RNAcentral is "tRNA-Arg". It matches the Rfam family "tRNA". From Rfam's summary of the family: Transfer RNA (tRNA) molecules are approximately 80 nucleotides in length. Their secondary structure includes four short double-helical elements and three loops (D, anti-codon, and T loops). Further hydrogen bonds mediate the characteristic L-shaped molecular structure. tRNAs have two regions of fundamental functional importance: the anti-codon, which is responsible for specific mRNA codon recognition, and the 3' end, to which the tRNAs corresponding amino acid is attached (by aminoacyl-tRNA synthetases). tRNAs cope with the degeneracy of the genetic code in two manners: having more than one tRNA (with a specific anti-codon) for a particular amino acid; and 'wobble' base-pairing, i.e. permitting non-standard base-pairing at the 3rd anti-codon position. The record is from RNAcentral. Lineage: Bacteria; Pseudomonadati; Myxococcota; Myxococcia; Myxococcales; Archangiaceae. RNAcentral also lists the same sequence under 7 other names.
GUGCCAGUAGCUCAGCUGGAUAGAGCAUCGGCCUUCUAAGCCGAGGGUCGUGGGUUCGAGUCCCGCCUGGCGCGCCA